UACGGGGGGGGCAAGCGUUGUUCGGAAUUACUGGGCGUAAAGGGCUCGUAGGCGGCCAACUAAGUCAGACGUGAAAUCCCUCGGCUCAACCGAGGAACUGCGCCCAAAACUACUAUGCUCGAGGGAGAUAGAGGAAUGCGGAACUUAGGGUGGAGCGGUGAAAUGCGUUGAUAUCCUAGGGAACACCGGUGGCGAAAGCGGCAUUCUGGAUCUCUUCUGACGCUGAUGCACGAAAGCUAGGGUAGCAAACGGG
Molecule: ribosomal RNA, 253 nt
Filed under: uncultured bacterium
Lineage: Bacteria
Description: partial 16S ribosomal RNA
Rfam family: Bacterial small subunit ribosomal RNA
Source: RNAcentral